This 505-nucleotide ribosomal RNA is filed under the name uncultured bacterium. RNAcentral describes it as "bacterial SSU rRNA". It matches the Rfam family "Bacterial small subunit ribosomal RNA", at positions 791 to 1319 of the family's 1533-position model. The record is from RNAcentral.
UAGUCCACGCCGUAAACGAUGAGAACUAGAUGUUGGGAGGGUAAGCCUCUCGGUGUCGCAGCUAACGCAUUAAGUUCUCCGCCUGGGGAGUACGCCGGCAACGGUAAAACUCAAAGGAAUUGACGGGGACCCGCACAAGCGGUGGAGCAUGUGGUUUAAUUCGAUGCAACGCGAAGAACCUUACCUGCCCUUGACAUACUCGGAACUUUUCAGAGAUGAAUUGGUGCCUUCGGGAACCGAGUUACAGGUGCUGCAUGGCUGUCGUCAGCUCGUGUCGUGAGAUGUUGGGUUAAGUCCCGCAACGAGCGCAACCCUUGUCUUUAGUUGCCAUCAUUUAGUUGGGCACUCUAGAGAAACUGCCGGUGACAAACCGGAGGAAGGUAAGGAUGACGUCAAGUCAGCAUGCCCCUUACGCUCUGGGCUACACACGUGCUACAAUGGCGCUGACAGAGGGUUAAUCCCUAAAAGGCGUCUCAGUUCGGAUUGUCUUCUGCAACUCGAAGAC